AUACUAUACAGGAAUAGUGUGUAGUACUAUGGCAGCAAUAGUUUUUCACUGUAAUAUGUUAGUCAUAUUACAGAGGACAUACCUGGUAGAAAACUGCUUAAAGUAGCUUCAGGUGUAGGCCUUUUGAGUUGCAAUCUAAUUGUUUCUGUACUUCCAACAGUGGAUAUAGAAAGUGGGACAGCCACAUCUGCACUCAGAAGAUGCGAGAGCCUCACCAAAAGUUUGGAUUCCUGUAGUACAAGUCAACAAAAAUAGAGCUGAAUUCUUGAGCACUUUAAGCAUAUCCUAAUCAGUUUGAUUGUUUUAGACAAGUCUUAUAGGGAUCCCUAAAGUUGGCAACUAAAACAAAAUCUUGAUACCUCAAGGUACCUGAAUUGCGCCAGUUAGAAGAAACUUGUUUUUUGGUAAAGGAAUUUUUUCGUGUGAACAAGAAAAGCAUCUAAUGAUAAGCAUGAAAGUUAAUCUUAGUAUACAUGCUAGGUUGACG
RNAcentral lists this unclassified non-coding RNA (487 nucleotides) under Hevea brasiliensis (rubber tree). The record is from RNAcentral. Lineage: Eukaryota; Viridiplantae; Streptophyta; Magnoliopsida; Malpighiales; Euphorbiaceae.